GGGGACGGGGGGUUGGAGACCCAUCGGAAAAUUGAGACCUGUCGGAAAAUUGUCAAUAGCGAGUUUGAGCAAGACAACGAAGUACGAAGACGAAGGCGUAUACUUGUCAAUUUUUGCCGUAGACAUGUACAUUAUCUUGCGCAUACUGAGUUGGACGUCACUGGUGAUUGCUCAACGUGUCUUCCCAUGUGUCGCUGUUUGUGCAUACUGACCCUAAUUCUUGCCCCGACCCAGAAAAAAACAGCGAGACAUGAAACUAUAUCCCGUCUUUGUCCUUCUGCCUUCGUUCGGAACGAAGUUCACAGCGAAUUUUGCCAAAAUAUUUGCGAAUUUUUCGUUGUGAACGAAGGCAUUCUCGUACCCAGAGCCCUUCUUACGCGCGGUGCGAUGAGGGGCUCUGGCCAAAUCCAUAACCGGAUACCAUAUGGUAAGAAAACAAUAUCUGGUGUUAGAACUAGCC
Molecule: non-coding RNA, 460 nt
Organism: Paramuricea clavata
Lineage: Eukaryota; Metazoa; Cnidaria; Anthozoa; Malacalcyonacea; Plexauridae
Source: the annotation of a GenBank genome assembly